AUGCUGAAGAUGAAGAAUUAUCUAAAGCUAUUCAAUAUCGGCAGCAUUUUUUGAGGAGAGUGAAGAGGCGAGAAAAACAAUUUUCAG
Molecule: small RNA, 87 nt
Filed under: Pongo abelii (Sumatran orangutan)
Lineage: Eukaryota; Metazoa; Chordata; Mammalia; Primates; Hominidae
Description: retained intron
Source: RNAcentral